RNAcentral lists this ribosomal RNA (157 nucleotides) under uncultured Glomus. RNAcentral's name for it is "5.8S ribosomal RNA". It matches the Rfam family "5.8S ribosomal RNA". From Rfam's summary of the family: 5.8S ribosomal RNA (5.8S rRNA) is a component of the large subunit of the eukaryotic ribosome. The record is from RNAcentral. Lineage: Eukaryota; Fungi; Glomeromycota; Glomeromycetes; Glomerales; Glomeraceae.
UCACUUUCAACAACGGAUCUCUUGGCUCUCGCAUCGAUGAAGAACGUAGCGAAGUGCGAUAAGUAAUGUGAAUUGCAAAAUUCCGUGAAUCAUCGAAUCUUUGAACGCAAAGUGCACUCUCUGGCAACCCGGGGAGUAUGCCUGUUUGAGGGUCAGU